This 79-nucleotide transfer RNA is filed under the name Blumeria graminis f. sp. tritici 96224. RNAcentral's name for it is "tRNA-Leu (TAG) (tRNA-Leu-TAG-2-1)". It matches the Rfam family "tRNA". From Rfam's summary of the family: Transfer RNA (tRNA) molecules are approximately 80 nucleotides in length. Their secondary structure includes four short double-helical elements and three loops (D, anti-codon, and T loops). RNAcentral also lists the same sequence under 1 other name. The record is from RNAcentral. Lineage: Eukaryota; Fungi; Ascomycota; Leotiomycetes; Helotiales; Erysiphaceae.
GGGGUACUGGCCGAGUGGAUAAGGCGCUGUGUUUAGGCCGCAGUGGGAAACCGCGCAGGUUCGAAUCCUGCGGACUUCA